UACGUAGGGGGCGAGCGUUAUCCGGAAUCACUGGGCGUAAAGCGUGCGUAGGCGGCUCGUUAAGUGAGAUGUGAAACCGUGUGGCUCAACCAUAUCGUUGCAUCUCAUACUGGCGGGCUAGAGGAUGGCAGAGGCAAGUGGAAUUGGUAGUGUAGCAGUGAAAUGCGUAGAUAUUACCAGGAACACCAAUGGCGAAGGCAGCUUGCUGGGCCACCCCUGACGCUGAGGUACGAAAGCGUGGGGAGCGAACAGG
This 253-nucleotide ribosomal RNA is filed under the name uncultured bacterium. Its description in RNAcentral is "partial 16S ribosomal RNA". It matches the Rfam family "Bacterial small subunit ribosomal RNA", at positions 524 to 776 of the family's 1533-position model. The record is from RNAcentral.